GGCGCGAAAACUUUACAAUGCAGGAAACUGUGAUAAGGGAACCCCGAGUGCCCGUAUACGCGGGCUGUCCAGGUGUUUAAAAAGCANCUGAAGAAAGGGCCGGGCAAGACCGGUGCCCGCCGCCGCGGUAAUACCGGCGGCUCGAGUGGUGGCCACUAUUAUUGGGCUUAAAGCGUCCGUAGCUGGACUGUUAAGUCUCUUGGGAAAUCCGCCGGCUUAACCGACGGGCGUNNAAGAGAUACUGAGAGUCUAGGGACCGGGAGAGGUGAGAGGUACUCCGGGGGUAGGAGUGAAAUCCUGUAAUCCCUGGGGGACCACCGAUGGCGAAGGCAUCUCACCAGAACGGCUCCGACAGUGAGGGACGAAAGCUGGGGGAGCGAACCGGAUUAGAUACCCGGGUAGUCCCAGCCGUAAACUAUGCGCGUUAGGUGUACUGGUGACCACGAGU
This 448-nucleotide ribosomal RNA is filed under the name uncultured archaeon. RNAcentral describes it as "bacterial SSU rRNA". It matches the Rfam family "Archaeal small subunit ribosomal RNA", at positions 338 to 790 of the family's 1478-position model. The record is from RNAcentral.